AUGACUGCAGUGUUGGUGAAUCUCUGCUGGUCUGACCCACCACGGCCAGGGUAUCCCAGGCUAGCAUGUGGGCAAAGGGAUUUCCAAUGGCCUCAUUAUGCUGCCUUGGGGAGAGAGAAGGGAGCCCAGAGGAGACAGCCCAAAGUGCUACAGCUGGGCUAUGAGGGGAUCCCAUUUGUCUCAGAGAGGAUACCCCACCCCUCUGCAUCACAGAGGUGUCUGAGCCAGUCUGGGGUCCUUCUUCCCCUGAAGAGCAGCCACUGACAACAUCUGCUGCCCCUCCAGGGGGGAAGGUGGUUGUUCAGGUGAGUGGGCUCAGCCUCCCAUC
RNAcentral lists this long non-coding RNA (328 nucleotides) under Junco hyemalis (dark-eyed junco). Its description in RNAcentral is "lncRNA (ENSJHYG00000002326.1)". Lineage: Eukaryota; Metazoa; Chordata; Aves; Passeriformes; Passerellidae. The record is from RNAcentral.